UAUGCCUUCGAAUAAUUAAACAGCUAUACAGUAGUAUAGAUGUUGUUUAGUUCAGACAGAGGCAAAUAUCAAAUAUUAAAUAUCU
Molecule: small nucleolar RNA, 85 nt
Organism: Medicago truncatula (barrel medic)
Lineage: Eukaryota; Viridiplantae; Streptophyta; Magnoliopsida; Fabales; Fabaceae
Rfam family: Small nucleolar RNA snoR138
Source: Rfam